Molecule: ribosomal RNA, 240 nt
Filed under: uncultured bacterium
Lineage: Bacteria
Description: partial 16S ribosomal RNA
Rfam family: Bacterial small subunit ribosomal RNA
Source: RNAcentral
AGGUGGAGCGAAUCACAAAACCCGGUCUCAGUCCAGAUUGCAGGCUGCAACUCGCCUGCAUGAAGUUGGAAUUGCUAGUAAUCGCGAAUCAGAAUGUCGCGGUGAAUACGUUCCCGGGCCUUGUACACACCGCCCGUCACACCAUGAGAGUCGAUAACACCCGAAGCCUGUGAGCUAACCGCAAGGGGGCAGCAGUCGAAGGUGGGGUUGAUGAUUGGGGUGAAGUCGUAACAAGGUAUC